RNAcentral lists this unclassified non-coding RNA (364 nucleotides) under uncultured bacterium. RNAcentral's name for it is "contains 16S-23S intergenic spacer region". The record is from RNAcentral.
UCCCGGUUGGCCCGGGCAGUCUCGCAUGAAAAAUACAACAUACGAUAAGGGUUGCGCUCGUUGCGGGACUUAACCCAACAUCUCACGACACGAGCUGACGACGGCCAUGCAGCACCUGUCACUAGGCUCCCGAAGGCACCCCUCGAUUUCUCGAAGGUUCCUAGGAUGUCAGGCCUGGGUAAGGUUCUACGCGUAGCGUCAUAUUAAACCACAUCCUCCUCUGCUUGUGCGGGUCCCCGUCAAUUCCUUUGAGUUUUAGCCUUGCGGCCGUACUUCCCAGGCGGCAUACUUAUCGCGUUAGCUUCGACGCACAGGGGGUCGAUACCCCAUACGUCUAGUAUGCAUCGUUUACGGCGUGGACUAC